This 642-nucleotide ribosomal RNA is filed under the name Triticum aestivum (bread wheat). RNAcentral's name for it is "partial small subunit ribosomal RNA". Lineage: Eukaryota; Viridiplantae; Streptophyta; Magnoliopsida; Poales; Poaceae. The record is from RNAcentral.
AUGUGCACUCAAUCAUUGAGUGAGUUCUUGGAGCUUGUGGACAGAACGCAACACAUUCAGCUGUUGGACGGUAUUGAAGACAAAUUAGUUUGGGCUUGGGAGAAAAAUGGAUGCUUCUCGGCAAGAUCGGCUUAUCGGGCGUUCUUUGCUAGGAGAGUGGAGGCCACUAGAGCCACGCAAAUCUGGCGGUUGAGGGUGCCGUCGACCUGUAAGUUUUUGGCAUGGCUGGCGGCUAGGGAGAGGUGUUGGACGGCGGACAAGCUUGCGCGACGACAUCUACCACACCCUCCAGCUUGCCCCUUCUGUGAUCAAGCACCGGAAACAAUCAACCACAUCAUGCAUGGCUGCGUCUUUGCUAGGCAAGUGUGGCUCCCCAUCUUCUAUCACUCGGACAAACUAACUUGGCUACCAAGCGUGGAUGCCAAUCUGAUGGAAUGGUGGACCUCCAUAAAUCCACAACCAAAGCUUAGGAAGGAGACAUGGACCGUGAUUGUGAUUGUUGCGUGGAUGUUGUGGAAGCACAAGAUUGAUGUUGUGUUUAAUGGAGCGGCUCCUUCCACGAGUGAAUUUCUCAAGAAGAUCGAUUUAGAAGGGCAAGACUGGAGGGCGGCAGAGCUGCUGCACGAGGUAGGAUCGCUCUAG